RNAcentral lists this ribosomal RNA (577 nucleotides) under uncultured bacterium. Its description in RNAcentral is "bacterial SSU rRNA". It matches the Rfam family "Bacterial small subunit ribosomal RNA", at positions 338 to 916 of the family's 1533-position model. The record is from RNAcentral.
CCUACGGGAGGCAGCAGUGAGGAAUAUUGGACAAUGGGCGCAAGCCUGAUCCAGCCAUGCCGCGUGCAGGAAGACGGUCCUAUGGAUUGUAAACUGCUUUUGUACAGGAAGAAACACUCCCUCGUGAGGGAGCUUGACGGUACUGUAAGAAUAAGGAUCGGCUAACUCCGUGCCAGCAGCCGCGGUAAUACGGAGGAUCCAAGCGUUAUCCGGAAUCAUUGGGUUUAAAGGGUCCGUAGGCGGUUUAAUAAGUCAGUGGUGAAAUCUGGUCGCUCAACGAUCAAACGGCCAUUGAUACUGUUAGACUUGAAUUAUUAGGAAGUAACUAGAAUAUGUAGUGUAGCGGUGAAAUGCUUAGAUAUUACAUGGAAUACCAAUUGCGAAGGCAGGUUACUACUAAUGGAUUGACGCUGAUGGACGAAAGCGUGGGGAGCGAACAGGAUUAGAUACCCUGGUAGUCCACGCCGUAAACGAUGGAUACUAGCUGUUGGGCGCAAGUUCAGUGGCUAAGCGAAAGUGAUAAGUAUCCCACCUGGGGAGUACGUUCGCAAGAAUGAAACUCAAAUGAAAUUGACGG